Long non-coding RNA from Puntigrus tetrazona (Sumatra barb), 2280 nucleotides. RefSeq lists it as uncharacterized. Lineage: Eukaryota; Metazoa; Chordata; Actinopteri; Cypriniformes; Cyprinidae. The transcript has 2 exons. The record is from RefSeq and is a predicted model, not a curated record.
UUUUUUUUUUUUUUUUUUUAACGCUUACAUUUAAAUAGGCCUAUACAUUAAUCACUGCUAUGAGAAUGAAACCGUUUGAUGCUAUGCAUUCGUAACCAGCAAUGCUUCCAUCUCCCUGUAACUCCCCACUGAACAGAGCUGGUAGGUGUGUAACCAUAUAUUUAGAUUUUUAUUUAUAAUGAAGGAGCUCUUCCAGAAGGCAGAAGGAAGGGAUGAUUCUCUUGUUUGAGCCAGAUCGGUGGGGGAUGGGACUAUUUGUAAGGAAUGUAGGGGGCAGGUCCCUUUCCAAGAGGGGAGGAAAGGAAAGGGAGGGAAUGCGAGGAGGGGAGGUCGCCCAUAGUGACAUUUUACUCUUGGUCAGUAUCUGCAAGGUUAUGCAAGUUGAACUUUUUGGUUGUCUCAUCAAAAGACUGGACAUCUGGCCAAAACGAAGUGUAAUCUAUCGGUUGAUACGUAGGGAGGUCAGCGUGUGUGAAUGCACUGGCGCAAUACAUCCUGAUUUAUAUGCGUGCAGAAGUGAUAUGUGUCACCCUGGCGACUCGCAUAUUUUUAAAGCAAAUAUGCUGCAUGCGAUUCGUGCAAAAAUAAAUACAAUUUCUUACACGAUGCGCGCGGAGUUAUUUCGGUAUUUAUUCUUGUGAGUAUUGUUUUUUUCGUGUUUGGGGUUUAACAUCUAUGUGGUGUAACUGCCGAGCUUGUAAAAACCUUAAUUUAAAGGGAAAAAAAAUAUUGAGUGAAAAAACAAUAUUGACAUAAGACAAUAUAUGGAUUUUUUUUACUUAAUACAUCUAAUAUUUACAGUCGCGUGUUCUAACAAACAAUCUGCAACCAUUUUGUUGUCAUAUGACUCGCCUGAGUCUAGAUUAUUUUAUUAUAAAACCAUCCUCUUAUGAAAAAGCACUCUUCAUUCACUGCUUCAAAUGAGGUAUAGGGACUUCGUCACAGCGCAACUUUAUGAUAUUUAUGACAUUGCAAAAAAUCUUAACAGUUGUGCAAAUUCACGUGAAUCCUUUUUAAAACUUCAACUUGUAUUGUUUGCACUGGUCCGUUCAAAAAAACCCGAUGCACGACAAUUUGGCACGCGCGUUUUAAACUUGACAAUUAAAAGACUUAUUUUUAUCAUCCGGUGCAUUUGUCGUUGACCCGUAUGUACAGAGGCUCCACAGCAGAAGGUAAGCUGGAGACUCACCGGUCUGAACUGGGUGUAUGAGGAAUGUUGCGCUAAAUACCGCAACGCGCAUGCGCAGCGCAUUCACAGGCCACUAUAUAGCAUACUGAGGCCUACAGCUCCUCCGUUCUCAUGAUCCUGGUUCAGCUCUCAGCUAGUGGGCUUUGAAGCUUCACGUGAGGAUUGGGCGUCGUGUUCUCGACCUGUUGUCGUGAUUCAACAUUUUGACUGCAAGUUAACUGCACGGAACCUGAUUGGUAAAUUGUUUAACGUGUUUUAUUACCGAGGGGGACAAGUAAGAUCAUGCAUGUGAGUUCAAUGUGAAAUUCCCAAAGGAGAAAAAAAAAACAUCCUGUUGGAGCAUGUCGUUAACUCCAAGGCAGAAGCUGGUAUGCUUGGAAUUGCAGAGCACCAAGACUGCUUUUGGACGCAGAUAACCAAAGGGCCUACAAUAUGCUUUCCACUCUGUUUCUCAUAUUUGAAUGCCUGAGUCAGUCCACCAGCGUGGCUUCAAAGGAAUGCGUCUUUAUUGAUAGCAUGCAUGCAUGUAUUGGUAUUAGAUGAUUGUUUUUAAGUAGGCUGUUUAAAACGCCAGAUGUGCUAAAAAUGACGUUUUUGAAAAAAGUCACAUUUGUUAUUCUAAAUGUUCAUGGUGAUUUCUGUUGUAUGCUUAAGGGUGAAAGCGGUUAAACUCAAUGUAAAAACCCUCAACGUUUUUGCUCUAUUAAACACAUUUUAUACGAAGCGUGUUGUUUAGCAGCAAAUAAACUGCACAGAAUUCUGCUUAAAAUGAAUUUUGAGUUGCAUUUUGCCAUUGACUCGGUUCGUUUCUAGGCUGUGUAGGGUCAGAUGUCACAAAGAGGUUUACGUAUCGUGUGUAGUAGAGCAGGAACCAUUUUCAGUCUCACCAUUUAGGCAUUUAAACCCCUAGAUAUUAUGUUUUGCUCAGCCGCGCUAUCUUUUUGCUAAAGUGCUGUGAUUUAUCAUGCUUAAUAAAUCUUGCAGGCGAGACCCUAUCAAUAUUGCCUCUGCUUUUUUCACUGUUUAUGGAGUAGUGCAAUAUUGCUUAUAGGGUCUUGACUUUAAGGGUAAUCUGCAAUUUCAGGAACGUU